AACAAUAUUAUUUUCAGAUGAAUUUGUGAAGAAUGAAAGCUCCCGCAGGUCUAAGUAGUUCUAUUAAUUCCUUGACAGGAUCUAUCCGUCCUCUAGAAUCAGUCAAGGUUGUUGUUAGAUGUCGCCCAUUAAACGAGAAAGAGAUUGACGCUGGGCACGAGAGCUGUGUUCAAAUCUACCCAGACCGAGGACUGAUCGAGCUCAGAAACCCUAAACUAGGUCCAACGGAUCCCAUUAAAACCUUCACCUUCGACGCCGUGUACGACUGCAACUCCAAGCAGUAUGAUUUGUACGCAGAAUCAUUCGCACCCUUGGUUGACGCAGUUCUUGACGGCUUUAAUGGGACUAUAUUUGCGUACGGUCAAACUGGCACGGGUAAAACAUACACCAUGGAGGGUAUCCGAUCCGAACCUAAUAACAGAGGCGUUAUUCCUAACUCCUUCGAGCAUAUAUUUAGCCAUAUUUCGAAAUCCGCAAACCAGCAGUAUCUGGUUCGUGCCUCCUACCUCGAAAUUUAUCAAGAGGAGAUUCGAGACCUUCUUUCGAAGAAUCAAGGAAAGCAGCUUCCGCUGAAGGAACGGCCGGAUACCGGGGUUUAUGUCAAGGAUCUCUCAUCAUUCGUCUGUAAGUCAGUCUCAGAAAUAGAGCAUGUGAUGUCCGUCGGUAAUCAAAACCGGUCCGUCGGUCCGACAAACAUGAACGAACAUUCGUCCAGAAGUCACGCCAUCUUCAUCAUCACGAUCGAAUGCAGCCAACUGGACGAUGAAGGAAAUUCGCAUAUUCGAGUCGGAAAACUCAAUCUCGUGGAUUUGGCGGGAAGCGAACGACAGUCGAAGACAGGAGCUCAGGGAGACAGGUUUAAAGAAGCGACUAAAAUCAACCUUAGUUUGUCGGCUCUGGGCAAUGUAAUAUCAGCUUUGAUAGAUGGAAAGUCGACAUAUAUUCCAUACAGAGAUAGCAAACUUACAAGAUUGCUUCAAGACAGUUUAGGAGGAAAUGCCAAAACCGUGAUGGUUGCCAAUUUUGGUCCUGCCAGUUAUAAUUACGAGGAAACUGCCACCACUCUCAGAUACGCUAAUAGAGCAAAGAAUAUUAAGAACAAGCCUAGAGUUAACGAAGACCCUAAAGACGCCUUACUCCGUGAAUUUCAGCAAGAAAUUGCGCGCCUUAAAGCUCAAAUUAAUGAAAAAGGCGGAGAGAAGAGUAAAAAGAAGAGAGUGAAGAAGAAGAAGAAGGUUCCGAAAGAGAAGAAGGAAACCAGGGAAGAGAAUGAAAAUGAAGAUGAACCUAAAUCUGUCGAAGAUUCUGGAGAGUCUGUUUAUGAGGAUGAAUAUGAGGAGGACGGCGAGGCGGAGGGGGCGGAUGAUGAAGAAAUUUCUCUGAAAGAAACGGCGGAGAGACUGGCAACGGAGAAGGAACUCCUAGAAAACGACACAUCAAUGCUGGCGGAGGAAAAGAAUAAAAUCCUCGAGGAAAUGAGGCGGAAGGAGGCGAUGUUGAGCCGUGAGCGGGCGGAGAAAGAAAAAUUGGCGGCUAAGAUUGCCGCCAUGGAGAGUAAACUACUGACCGGAGACGGGAAGACUAUUGUUGAUCAUACCAACGAGCAGCAGCGAGCACUAGAGCAGAGACGAGCUGAAGUUGCAGCAAGACGGAAAACCGAGGUUGAGGUUGCACGAAGGUUGGAAGAGCAGGAGGAGAAGGGAGUUGAACUAGAGAAAACCUACUCCAGUCUCCAGCAGGAGGUGGAGAUUAAAACCAGGAAACUUCGUAAACUGUUCUCUAAACUACAGACAACAAAGCAGGAUAUUGUUGAUGUGACCGAGGAGUAUAACCGUGACCGACGUGACCUUGAGCUGACCCAGGAGGAACUGUUGAAGGAGUUGAAGCUGAAGUAUCUCAUCAUCGAGAAUUUUAUCCCUGCUGAGGAGAAGGAGAAGGUUCUAGCUCGCGCUAGAUUCGACGAGGAUGAAGACUUGUGGAAACUUGGACCCUCUCGUCCACAGUCAGGAACUAUCAGUAAAAGACCUGUAUCGGCGGCCGGCUCACGCCGACCUGUUUCUGAAUAUGCCAGGAUGUUAAGUAGCAUUGGAGGAAACCCGAGAUAUCGAGGAGAAAAUAUUAUGAAACUAAAUCUGGAUCAUCCAGCAAGAACAACACGUGACUAUGAAGGCCCAAGUGUGGCGCCUCGUGUUCAGGCAGCACUCGACGCGGCAAUGAACAACAUCGAGGAAGAUUUGGAUAUCGACGCGCUCGCGAUAACCAACGCGUUUGCUGUAAAAGGCACGCGUAAAGAGAAAAAGAAAGCACGGCCUAAGAGCGGUCGGGACCGACGUGAAAACUAUCCGCAAUCGCGGGGUUUGGUCCCGAAAUGAUCAAAUUUGACUCAUCAGGGAGCCGGCGGCCUGCCAGAGUUCAGAAAUUGGGAAUUCGAAUCCGAUUUUUCGGACUCUGACAGUGUCAGCCUCAAUACCGUCAUAGAUUCUUCAGAGAACCGUCGUUUCAAAUCCAAAACUUGCAAUCAGUCAAUCAAUUCCAAUUUGGCCUUUUUUUGUGUAGUUUGCUUGAUGAGUCCGGUGCACAUGUAUCUGCUUAUUACAAAAAUGUAUUGUAUGCACCGUUUUUUUUUUUUUUACUGAUUGGUCAUAUUUUUUUGACUUUGCAGCGCAUAUCAUUAGUUUAUAGCCAAAUUAUCCACUAAAUUAUUUUGUAAACAUUUUUUCAGUUCUUAAAGGAACUGCCAUUCUAUUUAACGAACUUCUUGUCCUAUUCACAGCGGUACCAUCAUCUUUAAACUCUUUUCUUUGUUGCAGUAUUUCGUUAUUCACUUAAAACACAGAAAUUGCAACGGGAAAUUAUCAAUUUUCUGACCAGAUUAUCUACAUGUUUUUUUGUAGAGACAAAGUUGUAAGAGGUACCGUUGCGAUUCUGACAUUAACUCGUUAAAUUUAGACUCAAGAGUCACUAGGAAUUAUGUCAUAGGCCUUUGAAAUAAAAUCCAGACAGUUUUCCAGGUUUGAAAACCGGUUGUUGAAAUAUUUCGUGGAUUUGCUGGUUCUCUAUUCUAGUUUUUCAAAUUAAAGCAUUAAAGAAAAGAUUAAGUUCCAAAAUCAUCUCUAUUCAGUGUUCAAGUACAGAUUUGUUGUGUUCAUGUACACUGCCGUUGCGCAACGUACUUAAAUGUACUCAAAUGUACUAAAACAUACUAUUAUUUAAUCAAAUGUACUAAUAUUUACUUCGAUGUACUUAAAUGUAUUUAAUUGUACUUUUUAAUAUGUAUAUUGCCUUAAAUCAUGCCGUGAAUUAAGCACCAAAAUUUCCCUUCUCGCAUUUUCUUGUAGGAAAUAGAGUAAAUAUUGGAUAACAACCAAAUACGUACGGCGGGUUAAAAACACUCAAUACGUUAUAUACUAAGCAACUACUGAAUCCUAUUUUUAUCAAGUUAUGUCUUUUUUUAGUGUUUUUUUUUCUUUAAAAAUAUUCUACUUUCACACAUCGUUUGGUCCCAAAUUGAUUUUGUUCUUUACAUGACAAUCUUUUUGAUCACUAUAAAGUGCUUUUUUUAGUACAAAUUCCUGCACCUGAUCUCAUUUAUUUAUUUAUCUAGUCAUCCAAUUGUGAUACUUAUAUUAUUAUUUAUUUUAUUUAUUAACUUGUUCUUAAUUCUGGUUUUCUUUCACUUUUCACAAAUAUUCAUCACUCUCUGUCAAGUUUAAACUUAAAUCUAAGUUUAUUCUAACAUAAAAACCUCUGUGUGUAAAAAAUAGUCCACAAAAUGUAAUAUUUAUCAAAAAUAAUGAAUAUCUUGUCUUAUCUUUAGGUCCAAAAAUUCACUUAAAGCCUCAUUCAAUAAAAUACUCUAAAACUUCCUUUAAAAAUUUGGAUUUAGAAUUUUUUUAUCACACACCCUAAGGAAUACAUGUUAACAAAUCUUCUUUUCCGAUUAUUUUGUUAAUCACAAAAAAAUCAACUUCUUUUAUUGUACAAUGUACAUAUACUUACAUAACAUGUUAUAUGAUUAUGUAACACACACUUAAACCCCUCAGUUGUACAUAGUACAUAUAUACUAACAUAACAUGUUAUAUGAUUAUUUAAAACACACUGAAACCCCUCAGUUCCACUCAUCAAAUAUUAAUUGUACAUUGUACAUAUAUACUUACAUAACAUGUUUAAUGAUUAUGUAACACACACUUAAACCCCUCAGUUCCACUCAUCAAAUAUUAAUUUUCUAGA
This 4230-nucleotide unclassified non-coding RNA is filed under the name Eurytemora carolleeae. RNAcentral's name for it is "kinesin-II 95 kDa subunit". Lineage: Eukaryota; Metazoa; Arthropoda; Copepoda; Calanoida; Temoridae. The record is from RNAcentral.